CUCCUUUCCUAAGGAACCUGGCCACCUAGCUCUCCGGGCCUUUCCCACACCCAACUCGGGCCAGGCUGGCCUCUCCCGCGCUACAGGGAGGUCCCGGAGGGAGGCCAGGGUGGGGAGAGAGCACCCCACCUUCCUUCCUGCUCCCGCAGCCCGCACCCACUUUGAGAGGUGCUAGGUGUCCCCGCUCCCCGGUAGGGAAUAGAGGACAGACAGGUCUGCAGGCAGGUGAGGAUGUGAGCACCGCACCUUCUGGGCAGGUGGGAGAAGCUGGCUUCCCUCUGGAACUGAGUCACCUUCCGCGGCCCAGGGUCAGUGCGCAGGUGCGGAGGGGCGGGUUAAGCUCACCUCCACUGGCGGAUCUCAGCAAGGAGCGCCAGGCUCUGCUAAGCUGACCUGGGUUCCUCAGAACAUCAGUGCUUAACCGCCCACGAGGCGCUCAGUCCUGCCGUCCCCAUUUUACAGUCGCAGGGUCAGCUCAGGAGUCGGACCCACUAUGACGACUCAGGGAGGACAUCAUAUGCGUGCUCAGCGACCUGUGGAGUGCCGGUUCAAGGAAUGGGCUCCCAUUUUCCAGAUGGAGAAACCGAGGCACUGUACGGCCCCUGCACCUGCAAGUCUGGAGGGCUCGUCCCUGCUCACCCCGCACACCUUCUGGAAAAGGCCUCAGGCCUGUCAUUAGCUCUGCCCAGAACAGAAGGUCCCCGCCCAGACAGAGAGGUAGUCUUUUCCUGCCCGGAGGCAUUGAAACAGAGCCUGAAGCCUCCCCACAUGGAACUGCAUGGGAAGCAGUAAAAUCCUCGGCUGCUAGAAUCUCCGGAGGCCCCAAGACUUUUUGAACAUCGGCCCUAGAGGAGAAUGAUUUCAGACACUUUCUGGAGGAUUGUUUGUCGAGAGCCGAAAAGGCUUCAAUCCAGACUUAGGUGGGGAUACUCACUAUUGGGAGCAGCACCAAGGACAGAGGUCUGGGACUGCCUGGCCCCGCCCCACCGUCCCUUCCGGUCGCUCAGCCCAGAGGUUCUCCCGUGACCCACAUCUUCUCCUGAGCCUCCUGAAGCAGCGCAGACCAGGCCAGGGGCCGGCGGAGGGAGGAAGACGACACAGCCUGCAGUGUCACCAGCGCCGGCACACGGCCCCAUGCCUUGAGCAGGAGGGUUAAUCCCCGGUCCUCUUCGGGGGCUGGGCCUUGUCCAUGUGCUUUCAGCACCGAGCACGGCCUGGCGGAAGAUACGUCUUUCCCUUUCCAUGCCUUAACGGUACAUGUUCACUGGGGGAAUUGUCCACUAUACAGAAAAUACAAAGAAAACCAAAAAUAAGAGCCCAUUAGAGUCUCAUAGUCACCUUUGCUACUUAGAUACCUCUUUUUGCUUUUAGGUAGACAGCUGUGGGCUGUAAACCGUAUCACAUCCUAUGUUCUGUCCCGUAUACCAUUAUAUAUAUUACUGUGUACCACUGUACAAUACCAUGCCCGGAGCCCAUUCUGUGUGAACAAACACAGAGCUAUAAGGUUGCUUUCACAGUUGCAUUGCAGCCUCCUAUUUCAUGUACUGAGCUAAUAGCUGUUAAUAAGAUGUUUAGGUUGUUUCCAGUUUCAUGCUGUUUUAAGUACUCAAAGAUGAGUGUGUUUGUGGACAGAUGUUUUUGCACUUAUACAGUUGUCUCCUUGGGGUAAUUUCUUCAAAAUAGAAUUAUUGGAUCAAAAACACACAUUUUAUAUUUGGACACACAUCAUCAAACUGCCUUCUCAAAAAGUUGUACACUGUACAUUGCUAUCCAAAGAAGACAUUGUUAGGGCCAGGCAUUUAGCUCAGUGGCACCAAGCCUGCCCAACAAGCACAAGGUACUGAGUUUGAUCCCUGCCACCAAACAAAAAGGUAUUGUUAGGCCUUUAAUUUUUGCUGUCAAAUGAAUGGGCUCUUAGCCUGGCCAGGUACGCACAUCUGUAAUCCCAACACUUUGAGAAGCUGAGGCAUGAAGAUGGCAAGUUUGAGCCCAGUCUGAGUAACAUAGCAACUUAGUGUGAGAACUUGUCUCAAAAUAAGACAUAAAAAAGGCUGGGAAUGUAGCUCAGUAAGAAGGCCC
This is a long non-coding RNA of Fukomys damarensis (Damara mole-rat), 2079 nucleotides long. NCBI's taxonomy places the organism in Eukaryota, Metazoa, Chordata, Mammalia, Rodentia, Bathyergidae. The record is from Ensembl.